RNAcentral lists this ribosomal RNA (266 nucleotides) under uncultured bacterium. RNAcentral describes it as "partial 16S ribosomal RNA". It matches the Rfam family "Bacterial small subunit ribosomal RNA", at positions 793 to 1055 of the family's 1533-position model. The record is from RNAcentral.
GUCCUAGCUGUAAACGAUGGUCACUAGGUGUUGGAUCCCUAAUAAGGGUUCAGUGCCGCAGCUAACGCAUUAAGUGACCCACCUGGGGACUACGGCCGCAAGGUUGAAACUCAAAGGAAUUGACGGGGGCCCGCACAAGCGGUGGAGUAUGUGGUUCAAUUCGACGCAACGCGAAGAACCUUACCUGGGUUUGAAAUCCCGGCGACAGCUCAAGAGAUUGAGUCUUCUCGCAAGAGGCGCCGGGACAGGUGCUGCAUGGCUGUCGU